UUGACCUCAAAUCGGGUGGGACUACCCGCUGAACUUAAGCAUAUCAAUAAGCGGAGGAAAAGAAACUAACAAGGAUUCCCCUAGUAACGGCGAGUGAAGAGGGAAAAGCUCAAAUUUUGAAUCUGGUGUCUUUGACUCCCGAGUUGUAAUCUAGAGAAGUGUUUUCCGCG
RNAcentral lists this ribosomal RNA (170 nucleotides) under uncultured fungus. Its description in RNAcentral is "partial 28S ribosomal RNA". It matches the Rfam family "Eukaryotic large subunit ribosomal RNA", at positions 1 to 169 of the family's 3401-position model. Lineage: Eukaryota; Fungi. The record is from RNAcentral.